UGCCAGCCGCCGCGGUAAUACGGAGGGUGCAAGCGUUGUUCGGAAUUACUGGGCGUAAAGCGCGCGUAGGCGGCUAUUCAAGUCAGAUGUGAAAGCCCGCGGCUCAACCGUGGAAGUGCAUUUGAAACUGUGUAGCUUGAGUACUGGAGGGGGUAGUGGAAUUCCCGGUGUAGAGGUGAAAUUCGUAGAUAUCGGGAGGAAUACCGGUGGCGAAGGCGACUUGCUGGCCAAAUACUGACGCUGAGGUACGAAAGCGUGGGUAGCAAACAGGAUUAGAUA
Molecule: ribosomal RNA, 279 nt
Filed under: uncultured bacterium
Lineage: Bacteria
Description: partial 16S ribosomal RNA
Rfam family: Bacterial small subunit ribosomal RNA
Source: RNAcentral